UACGGGGGGGUGCGAGCGUUGUCCGGAAUUAUUGGGCGUAAAGAGCUCGUAGGCGGUCUGUCGCGUCGGAUGUGAAAACCCAGGGCUCAACCCUGGGCCUGCAUUCGAUACGGGCAGACUAGAGUUCGGUAGGGGAGACUGGAAUUCCUGGUGUAGCGGUGGAAUGCGCAGAUAUCAGGAGGAACACCGAUGGCGAAGGCAGUUCUCUGGGCCGUAACUGACGCUGAGGAGCGAAAGCGUGGGGAGCGAACAGG
Molecule: ribosomal RNA, 254 nt
Filed under: uncultured bacterium
Lineage: Bacteria
Description: partial 16S ribosomal RNA
Rfam family: Bacterial small subunit ribosomal RNA
Source: RNAcentral